This 234-nucleotide long non-coding RNA is filed under the name Elaeis guineensis (African oil palm). RNAcentral's name for it is "long non-coding RNA (EGUI_LNC049699)". The record is from RNAcentral. Lineage: Eukaryota; Viridiplantae; Streptophyta; Magnoliopsida; Arecales; Arecaceae.
GGAGAAUCGUGCGGUAUCCGUCGCAGGAUCGUGGCCGUUAUUGUGGCCUGCCAGGGAGUAGUGGAGCUGCGCGAGAUCCGUCGUAGGAAGUGGAGCAGUGCUGUGACCGUUACUGCGGCCUGUCAGGGAGUGAUGGAGCUGCGCGGAAUCCACCGUAGGAAGUGAAGCAGGAUCGUGGCCGUUAUUGUGGCCUGCCAGGGCGUGCAGAUCCGUCGGCUAAAGUUCGACAGCGGU